UGUAUUCACUACUGUAAGUCGCUCUGGAUAAGAGUGUCUGCUAAGUGACUAAAA
This is a non-coding RNA of Salmo salar (Atlantic salmon), 54 nucleotides long. NCBI's taxonomy places the organism in Eukaryota, Metazoa, Chordata, Actinopteri, Salmoniformes, Salmonidae. The record is from Rfam.